Molecule: ribosomal RNA, 388 nt
Filed under: Leptolyngbya sp. DPW4
Lineage: Bacteria; Bacillati; Cyanobacteriota; Cyanophyceae; Leptolyngbyales; Leptolyngbyaceae
Description: bacterial SSU rRNA
Rfam family: Bacterial small subunit ribosomal RNA
Source: RNAcentral
UGGGGAAUUUUCCGCAAUGGGCGAAAGCCUGACGGAGCAAUACCGCGUGAGGGAGGACGGCUUUUGGGUUGUAAACCUCUUUUAUCAGGGAAGAAUCGAUGACGGUACCUGAUGAAUCAGCAUCGGCUAACUCCGUGCCAGCAGCCGCGGUAAUACGGAGGAUGCAAGCGUUAUCCGGAAUUAUUGGGCGUAAAGCGUCCGUAGGUGGUUUAUCAAGUCUGCUGUCAAAGCGUGCGGCUUAACCGCAUAAGGGCAGUGGAAACUGAUGAACUAGAGUGCGAUAGGGGUAACAGGAAUUCCCAGUGUAGCGGUGAAAUGCGUAGAUAUUGGGAAGAACACCAGCGGCGAAAGCGUGUUACUGGGUCUGCACUGACACUGAGGGACGAAA